Molecule: long non-coding RNA, 1802 nt
Organism: Aegilops tauschii subsp. strangulata
Lineage: Eukaryota; Viridiplantae; Streptophyta; Magnoliopsida; Poales; Poaceae
Source: RefSeq, a predicted model, not a curated record
CGUCUUCCUUUCCACCCGCGCCGCACAAGGAUGGAUAAGGCGAGCGCUCUGAGCUGCGGAGCAGUGGAAGGAGCGCCGGGGAGGGGACACUCCACGGCGGCGGUGCUUGGGGCUCCGACGAGCGCAGACGAGCGGCGACGCCCUGAAGGCCAUCAGCCAUGGCCAUUGUGGUUUCGCGUGCGCCCGCGAGCGGCUGCACGCUGGGGGGAGGCGGAGCUCGAUGCAGCGCGCGAACCUAGCCUUGGUGCGACGGCGGCGCGGCUGCUGUCCUCCCGUCCAACCCGCAGCACGUCGAGCCUCACCGGAGUUCCUCCAUGACGCCGGAAGCAGCUGCCACUGCCCUCCAUGGAGCCCCGACGCCUCCGCCAUGAACCCAUCCAUCCCGACCUCCUGUGCGCGCUUCCCUGCAACUCCAGACGCCGCCCGCAGCUCUCUGCAUCGAGCAGCAGCAGUUCGGGCAGAGGACGACGCCUCUGCCUCGACCGCUCGCCCCCUCUGCUUCGCGCUGGACUGCCAAGUCCCUCCCGUCCUCAUCCCCAUGCAGCUGCGCGCUCUCGCCUGCCCCCACGGCGAGCUCCGCCUCCUGCGUGCGGUCGCCGCCUCCCUCAACCUCCACCACCUGCUGCAAGUUGGUGCCCGGCGGCGGCAGAGUUGCUGCUCCCGUGUCGUGAUUGGACUCCGUGUUCUUCUCCAACAGCAAAUACGUGUUCUUCUCCAACACCAAUCAAUGGAUUUCCCGAGCCGGAUUUGAGUUGCCUACUAUAAGAAGGAAGGGUCCUCGGACCAGAAGCUCCAUCAAAUCAAAUCAAAUCAAAUCCCGUCGAAAUUGCAAUUUUCGUCGAAACGUCCAUGUCGCCGCCGAGUUCGCCGGAGGAACCAGAACGUCCGUCCAACCGUCCAAUGUCGCUGCCGGCGGCUACAACAGAGUACUAAGUGGCUUCGCACUGAUGCAAGACGAACAACAGCCGGCUUAGAUGAGUCACUUGAGUGCUGUCUUGAAAACAACAUGAGCAAGACUGGACUUGAUGGGCAUUCGAGACUGUCCCUUUUUGAUGGAAAUGUUCUUCAGCUGAAUGAAUCUCAUCUUGUCAAGCAAAAGAUCAGUGAUCUCGUGCAGUGGCGGAGCUUGGUGGGGGCCAACCUGAGCCCCAUGGCCCCCCCAGCCCAGAAGAAAUUUUCUGUAUAUAGCUUAGUAUUAGGCCUAUUUGUCCACUAAAAAUCACCCAAAAAUAAUUAUGUUUGCCCCCCCCCCCCCCCCAAGAAAAACCAUGGCCUCCCCAUGAUUUCGGCUCAAGCUCCGCCACUGAUCUCGUGCAAGGUCCAAAUGUUACCGGUGAUCAUGGCUCUACAGAAAUGAACAACUGCGACCAGACAGAUUACGAAAUGUUCAGCCAAUUUGACCAUGUCAGAUGCAGUUUUGCUUGGAGGAGACAUAAUUUGUGCAUUCAAAUACAGUUGUUGUUGCGCUCACAGGAGAAAGGACUUAGUUUUGUGUUUCAGGCAUUGAGACAGUCCACUUUCUAAAAGAGGUGGUGGUAUAUUUGUAACCUAACUGUGCCCACGAUCAGCAAGAAAAUCAUUACAUUGAAGUUUUUAUUUGUUCGAUGUACCCCUGAAAUUUGCUGUCAAACAAGUGUUAUAGUAGGAUAGUUAAGUGGAUUUUUUUUUGGCUUUACAUCAUCACAUGACUACUGAUCUAAAUGUUCUCUGCCACACUAGCUUUCCUUUCAAGGGAAAUUUGUAAACUGUUGUAGCUAUUUAUUUUCCAUGCAUUUUGAAUGUUAAUCAAGACCAAUGCUGUA